This 371-nucleotide ribosomal RNA is filed under the name uncultured organism. RNAcentral describes it as "bacterial SSU rRNA". It matches the Rfam family "Bacterial small subunit ribosomal RNA", at positions 526 to 896 of the family's 1533-position model. The record is from RNAcentral.
CGAAGGGAGCUAGCGUUGUUCGGAAUUACUGGGCGUAAAGGGCGCGUAGGCGGUUUGACAAGUUGGAUGUGAAAGCCCUGGGCUCAACCCGGGAAUUGCAUUCAAGACUGUUUUACUUGAAUUCGGUAGAGGUUGGUAGAAUUCCCAGUGUAGAGGUGAAACUCGUAGAGAUUGGGAAGAAUACCCGUGGCGAAGGCGGCCAACUGGACCGACAUUGACGCUGAGGCGCGAAAGCGUGGGUAGCAAACAGGAUUAGAUACCCUGGUAGUCCACGCCGUAAACGAUGCAUGCUAGACGUUCGAACCAUCAUGGUUCAAGUGUCGCAGCUAACGCACUAAGCAUGCCGCCUGGGGAGUACGGCCGCAAGGUUG